AAGUCGUAACAAGGUUUCCGUAGGUGAACCUGCGGAAGGAUCAUUAACACGUAUCCACGUAUCAACCAACUGUGAACUUGUUUUCAAUCGCCCUGCCGUCUACAUGAAUUGAAGGAGUUAAGAUAAUGAAAUGGGAAUCGAAUUCGUUCGAUUCAGUCUUAACAAACUAACUUGUGCCUGCAAUAUGGUACAGACAAUUGUAGUAGUACGGUCAGGUCAACCUUUCUGCUUGAAACUUCUCCUUUCAUGAAGUUUCGGGUAGAAUCAAUUCAACACCUAUUUCACCACCUUUUUGCUAGUUGACUUUUAUAUGUUGUCUUCUUCGUACUUCGGUACUGAGAAUUCACACGUUUAUUAAUUGAACGUUAAAUGUACAACUCUUAGCAAUGGAUAUCUUGGUUCUC
RNAcentral lists this unclassified non-coding RNA (404 nucleotides) under fungal sp. Its description in RNAcentral is "partial internal transcribed spacer region". The stretch from base 1 to 46 matches the Rfam family "Eukaryotic small subunit ribosomal RNA", at positions 1786 to 1831 of the family's 1831-position model. Lineage: Eukaryota; Fungi. The record is from RNAcentral.